ACUCCUACGGGAGGCAGCAGUAGGGAAUCUUCCACAAUGGGUGCAAACCUGAUGGAGCAAUGCCGCGUGAGUGAAGAAGGUCUUCGGAUCGUAAAGCUCUGUUGUUAGAGAAGAACACGUGCUAGGUAACUACUAGCGCCUUGACGGUAUCUAACCAGAAAGUCACGGCUAACUACGUGCCAGCAGCCGCGGUAAUACGUAGGUGACAAGCGUUGUCCGGAUUUAUUGGGCGUAAAGGGAGCGCAGGCGGUCUGUUUAGUAUAAUGUGAAAGCCCACGGCUUAACCGUGGAACGGCAUUGGAAACUGACAGACUUGAAUGUAGAAGAGGAAAAUGGAAUUCCAAGUGUAGCGGUGGAAUGCGUAGAUAUUUGGAGGAACACCAGUGGCGAAGGCGAUUUUCGGGUCUAACAUUGACGCUGAGGCUCGAAAGCGUGGGGAGCGAACAGGAUUAGAUACCCUAGUAGUCCCAUGAA
RNAcentral lists this ribosomal RNA (474 nucleotides) under uncultured organism. RNAcentral's name for it is "partial 16S ribosomal RNA". It matches the Rfam family "Bacterial small subunit ribosomal RNA", at positions 335 to 801 of the family's 1533-position model. The record is from RNAcentral.